This 429-nucleotide ribosomal RNA is filed under the name bacterium. RNAcentral describes it as "partial 16S ribosomal RNA". It matches the Rfam family "Bacterial small subunit ribosomal RNA", at positions 355 to 776 of the family's 1533-position model. The record is from RNAcentral.
UAGGGAAUCUUCCACAAUGGACGCAAGUCUGAUGGAGCAACGCCGCGUGAGUGAAGAAGGUUUUCGGAUCGUAAAGCUCUGUUGUUGGUGAAGAAGGAUAGAGGCAGUAACUGGUCUUUAUUUGACGGUAAUCAACCAGAAAGUCACGGCUAACUACGUGCCAGCAGCCGCGGUAAUACGUAGGUGGCAAGCGUUGUCCGGAUUUAUUGGGCGUAAAGCGAGCGCAGGCGGAAUGAUAAGUCUGAUGUGAAAGCCCACGGCUCAACCGUGGAACUGCAUGGGAAACUGUCAGUCUUGAGUGCAGAAGAGGAGAGUGGAAUUCCAUGUGUAGCGGUGGAAUGCGUAGAUAUAUGGAAGAACAACAGCGGCGAGGGAGGCUAUCUGGUCUGCAACUGACGCUGAGGCUCGAAAGCAUGGGUAGCGAGCAAG